UACGUAGGUGGCGAGCGUUGUCCGGAUUUAUUGGGUUUAAAGGGUGCGUAGGCGGCCUUGUAAGUCAGUGCUGAAAUACCCCGGCUUAACCGGGGGGGUGGCAUUGAUACUGCAGGGCUUGAGUACAGACGAGGUAGGCGGAAUUGACGGUGUAGCGGUGAAAUGCAUAGAUAUCGUCAAGAACACCUAUAGCGAAGGCAGCUUACUAGGCUGUAACUGACGCUGAGGCACGAAAGGGUGGGGAUCAAACAGG
This 253-nucleotide unclassified non-coding RNA is filed under the name uncultured Cytophagales bacterium. RNAcentral describes it as "contains 16S-23S intergenic spacer region". It matches the Rfam family "Bacterial small subunit ribosomal RNA", at positions 524 to 776 of the family's 1533-position model. The record is from RNAcentral. Lineage: Bacteria; Pseudomonadati; Bacteroidota; Sphingobacteriia; Sphingobacteriales.